UAUUUUAUUUUAUUUUAUUUUAUUCAUUUAUUAAUUUUCUUUUUUUUUUUUUUGUAAAAUAUAAAACACUAAUUAUAACUAAACUGUAAUAUUUUAUUUCAUACGUGUAUAUUUUACAUUUAUAAAAGACCAAUAAAAAAAUAAAAUAUUGAAGUUUCAUUUUUAAUAUAUUUUAUAAACAUCCAAUAUAUGCAAUUAUAUAUACGUAUAUAUACAUAUGUAUAUAUAUUUAUAAAUUUAUAUAUUUAUUUGCUUAUUUUUAUGUAUGAAAUUGCAAAAAUAAUAAAUACCUUUUUUUUAAUUGUUAAGUAAUAAACAUGUACACGCAUGUAUAUUUUGUUAAUUAAAGCAUUUUGAAUUGUUAUUUAUUCAAUGCCUAAAAGAAAACGUAAAGCAACAGAAUAAUGUAUAAUUCUUCGUUAUUAUAUAUUUUUUAAUUAAAAAAACGAUGUGUUGUAGUUUUCGCUUUUUUUUUAAUACAUAACCUUUUCUUAACAUACAUUUUCUUAUUUUAUUUUGUCAAUAUUGUUUUAUUUGCAUUAUAUAAUUUUUUGCUUAGAUUUAUAAUGCUUAUAUUAACAUUAUUUUACAUCUUUCAUUUUUUGUUUUUUUUUGUAUUUUAUUUUUGUAUAUACACAUUUAUGUUAAUUGUAGUAUUCCUACUGUCUAUCCAUAAUUUUUGUAAAAAAAAUUAUUCUGAACUUGAUUAUUGUGCAACAUCACUUUUUCAAGAUUAAAUGAUAUUUUUAAUGUUGUUUUUAAGUUAUUACAUUUUCAUUAUAUGAAUAUGUUUUGUUUGUAAAGUUAGGUAUAAUUGUUGUUUGUUUUUUAUUGUGUAAUGCAAAUAUAUAUACUGCACAAAAAAAAAAAAAAAAACAUAAUAUGAAAUCAAUUUUGACAACGAAAUGAAAAUCUUGAAAUAAAUAGUAAUAGAUUUUUGUGUAAGUAUAUGUUUUUUUUUUUUUUUUUUUUAAUUAAUGCAUGUAUAUAUAUACCUUGCAUAAUUGUAUUUUAUUCUUUUUCGCUUUUUUUUUUUGAUAUUACAUAUAUAUGUAUAUAAAUAUACAUACAUAUAUACAUUCUUACAUAUCUAUAUACCUGCAUACCUACAUACCUACAUACCUACAUACAUAUUAAUUGUUAAAUUAGUGUGUUACACUUUAUCAUUUUUGUUUAAUAAUAUUAAUAUUAGUUCAUUUUCAUUUAAUACCAUUGACAUAUGUAUAUACAUAUCUUAAUAUUCUGAUUGAAUAGUUUUUGUAUAUGUCACACAAAAAAAUAUAUUGUUGAAGUUUUAUGUUUAGAACAUAAAUAAACAUUAUACUUUGUUAUAUUUCGUGUUCAUUAUUUUUGAGGGUUUUUUUUUUUUUUUUUUUAAAUAUAUUGUUUAAAUAAUAAGUUAUAGUUUAUUAUAUAAAAAUAUUAGAAAUAUUAUCUAAAAAAAAUAAAAAUAAAACUUAUAAAAUACAAACUAAAUAUAAGCCAUCGAAGUAGUCUACACAUAUAUAUAUACAUGUGAACACGCUAGCCAAGUGAAAUAUAUCUUUAAAUAUAUUAUAAAAAAAAAAAAAUAAAUAAUAAUUACAAAAAUAAAUUAAUAAAUAAAAAAUGGAUGAGGCUGUUGAUAGUAAAUUUUUUUUUCUAAAAAGCACAGAUGAAAUAAUUGAUUAUGUAAAUAGUAUGCAUGAAACAGUUGAGCAAAAUAACAAAGAAGAAGCAAACAUAGGAAUAGAAAAUAAUGAUGAGAAAUGUGAAUCAACAGAUGAUUUUAAUUAUAUUCAAAAGUAUAUAACAUCAAUUUUUGAUACCAAAACUAGUGAAGAAUUGUCAAACUCAAACGAAGAUAUAAUGAAAUGUAUUAAUGAAAGUGAUGAAAGCGAAGCAUAUAUUUUAAAUUGUCGUACGCAAAACAAUAAUUCAAAUGUUGAAUGGGAAUUAGAUAAUACAUACGAAUACGAUAGUACUGAUAAUGAAAAUAAUAACACGUUUUUAUCAGCUUUGUUAAAUAAACCGCCAGGUCUAAGAGAACAUCAUAAUUCAUUAAAUUUGGAAAACAAAAUAAGUAGUGUAAAUAAUAUGAAUUUAAAAAAAACUUACACAAAUAGUAGUUUGGUGAAUCACAAUAUUUUUAAUAAUAAAAAAACACUUCAGCCAUUUUAUUCAUUUAGAAAAAAUGAUUAUAUAAAUUCAGCGUUUAAAAAAAAUAAAUUUUCCGAAAAUGCUAAAGAAAAUAAUACGAAAAAUAAUAUUAUAAACAAUAAUUUUGCUAAAGCCAAUGAACUUUUAAUUAAUGAUGAUGUAAGCAAAAACAACAUAAAUAAUUUAAAUAAUAACAAAAAUUUGGAACAUUUGUUAUCAAAUUCAAAUAGGAAAAAUAUCGAACAAAAACAUAAAGAAGAAAAAGAUGAUAAGAAUAUAAUUGAAAAUCAGAUAAUAAACGCCACCGGUGGUAUAAAAAGAGUAGAUAACAUGAACAUAUUAAUAGGUGAUGGUAAUGUUAAUAAAAAAGGAAUAAGUAAUUAUGUCGAAGAAUAUGAACUAUUUGACAAUACAGAUAAUAAAUCUUAUAAAAGAAUAGAAUAUAAUGACGAUAUUUACAAUCGUAAUUUAGAAAUUGAGAAUAUAAGUUCUGGUUUUAGCAACCUUAAACAAAACAAUUUAUUAAAUAAUAAUGAAAAUGAAAUACAUGUACAUAAUUCGAAAAUUGGUAACGAUAGCACUUUGAAAAGUUUAAAUAAUUUUACAAUAAACAAAGAUAAUUUACAUUUUAUUUCAAAUUUGAAAGAACAUAUAAAUAUUACAAAUAAUCACAACAGCAGUAGUAAUAAUAGUAGCAAUAAUAGUGUCAAUAUUAAUGGUAUUAACUCUUCUGACAUAAUUCAUACUAUGCAUAAAAAUUGUAAAUAUGAAAACUAUGAUAUUAAUAAUAACAAAAUUGAUAAUUAUAAAUAUAAUAAUAAAUUGAAUGAUGAAAAAUAUACAUGUAGUAAUUCAGAAACAAAUGUUCAAAACAUGAAUGAAAUGUACCAUGGAAGGGUAAAUAAAAAUGAAAAUAUUUUAUUAAAUGACAAAACUAAUAUAGAUAAAUAUACCAACAUGCAUUUAAUGAAUGCUUAUACAAAUGAUAAAAAAUUAAAAGAAAAUAAAUUAAAUAGUUUAAAUAAUAAUAAUAACAACAUUUCUUAUGAUAAAUAUUUAGAUGUAAAUAAUUAUUUUAAUAUUGAUGGAAAUGUUAUAAGAAAUUACAAUACUCUAUUAAAUCAAAUUAUAAACCAACAAGAAAAGGGACAUUGUGAUAAUAAUAAAAGUUAUUGUGUAAAAUUAAAAGAAAAUAAUCUCAAUUUUUGUUUUCCAAACCACUUGCACUCUUCUGAUAAUAAAAUUUUUCCAGACGUAUCGAAUAAAAGCUUAUUUCAAAAUAAUAAUGUGAAUAUAAAAAAUGUUAUUAAUAAUGCUAACAACAAUAAUAUUAACAACAAUAAUAUUAACAACAAUAAUAUUAACAAUAAUAAUAAUAGUAGUCAUAAUAAUAAUAGUAGUCAUAAUAAUAAUAGUAGUCAUAAUAAUAAUAGUAGCCAUAAUAAUAACGACUUAUUUAUGCAUCAACAGACAUUGACAUAUUUAAAUAAAAAAAUUCAGAAACAAGAUGUGAAUACUAUAAACAACGAUAUUUACAAUUAUAUGAGAAAACAGUCCGGUAAUGUUGAAGGAAUCAAUGGGUAUAAUAAUAAGUAUGAACAAAACGCGGAUAUUGAAAAGGAAUUAAAGUUAAAAGAAUUGGAAAAUAACUUAAUAGAAAAAAAUAUUAGUAUAAAUUCGAUAGAAAAGAGUUUGAUUCCAAACAAAUCAAACUAUUAUGAUGCAACAGUAAGUAUUAAUAAAAACAGUUUUUUAAAAAAUAAUUCAUUUAUUAACACGUUUUGUGACGGUAGUACUGCUAGUGCCGCUACUACUACUACUACUACUAGCAAUAGUAAGCGUGAAAACGGUGGGAAACAUAACUUGUUAAAAGAUAAGAUAAAAUAUUUAUUAGAAAAUGAAAAUGAUGAUGUUUUACUAAGUAAACAUAUUUUAAAUACCUUAGAUGAACAUUAUAAAAAUAUAUAUAACAGGAGUGAAAAUAGUUAUACAGAUAACUGUGAGGACUUAAGAAAAAUUGAAAAUAAUACAUUUGUAGGAAAUAAAGACACAAACAAUAAUUCAACGUACGGAAAUAUGAAAAGCAAUAUACAAAAUAACAAUUCGAUAAUAGGUGGUGGUUGUCAUAUUGGAAAUGAAAACAUAUUACAACAAAAUACUGAAGAUUGUAAUAACAAAAUAAAAGAGAUAGAAAAUAAUGAUAUUUUAAAUUUUAUUUAUAUUAAGGCCAAGAGUGAAAUGCAUAACAAAAAUGAGACAACUUAUGAAAACGAAGAAGAUAGUUUUUUAAAAAAAAUGCCAUUUGGAGAUGAAGUAACAGAUGAUGAAAAUAUUACGAAUAUAUAUAACAAAAAUAAUAAUAGUAUAAAUCUGAACAAUUUUGGAAUAAACGAAAAUAGAAAUGACUAUAUAAUUAAUAAUAAUAGUAGUAACAACGGUAAUAACAACCACAAUAACACGUAUAAUAACAAAUACAAUACUAAUAAUGAGCUGUUAGAGUAUUAUUUAAAGCAUUAUAACGAAUUAAGCAAAAAUAGUAACAAAGAGCAAGAUACAUUGGAUUUAGAACAAUUAAGGUUUUCUGCAAAUACUAAUAAUAGUAGUAAGGGUGAUAAUUAUAACCACAAACAUAAUUUAACUUUAACUACUUCUACCAGUAAUAAUGGGAAUGACAAUAAUGGGAAUAUUAAUAAGUACAAUACAUAUACUUUUAGUAGUAGUAAUAAUAUUAAGAACGACAUUAAUAACUAUGAUAAAAAUUAUGUUAUUAACAAUAAAUUGCAUAAUAAUAAUAAUAAUGCAAUUUCGAACUCAGUUAGUUUAGGAAUAAAUAAUGAAAAUGACAAUAAGACUAAUAAAUUUGAACAAGUUCAAAAUGAAUCGAACAAGAAAGAUGCGUUUAUAGGUAAUAACUUAGAAAAGAAAUAUAAAAGUGAAGGAUACAAUAAUUUUGGUUUCAAUAAAAUGAAUACAUAUGUCAAAAAUAAAACUGGUGCAAAUAACAAUGUUAGAAGCGACAUGGGUAUAAGUAAGUAUAACCAAAAAAGUUUUUUUAAAAAUAAGGAUUUGACUUGGGAAAAAAAAAAGUUUCUUAUGAAUGGCCUCGGACAAAAUUUAGAUGGUAUGGAGCUGGAAAACGAAAUAAAUAAGGUAAAUGAAUAUUUUUACAACAAAACAAAAGAUUCAGCUUUUUUUUUAAAAAAUAACACACUUUUAGAUAGCGAUAAUGAUAAUAGUACUUGUACUAAUACUACUACUACCAAUAAUACUAAUAAUAAUAAUAAUAAUAAUAAUAAUAACAAUAUUACUACUACUAAUAAUAAUAAUACUACUACUAAUAAUAAUAAUAAUAGUAACAAUAAUAACCAUAAAAAUAAUAGUAAUGCCUGGUUUAAGAGUAGAACUAUAAAUGUGGUGAAUAAACCAAGAUACAAAAAAACAUAUAACAUGUUUGAAGAAAUUACAAAAGGUUAUCAAAAUAACAAUGAUAAUAAUGAUGAUAAUGCCACCAGUACUGGUAAUGUUCCUACUACCAACAAUAGUAAUAAUAAUAGUAAAAAGUACGGUAAUAAUAAUAACAGUAGUAAUAAUAACAAUAGUAAUAAUAGUGGUAAUAACUAUUUAAGCUUAAAAGAAAAAUAUAGCAUGUCGAAAGUAAAAAAGCUAGUAAAAAAAAAUACAGAAAUAAAUGAAUUACCAUUAGAAGAAUUAAAAGCAUUAUUAACAAAAGGGCAUGAACUGAACUUACAUAGAUUAUUA
Molecule: long non-coding RNA, 5898 nt
Organism: Piliocolobus tephrosceles (Ugandan red Colobus)
Lineage: Eukaryota; Metazoa; Chordata; Mammalia; Primates; Cercopithecidae
Source: Ensembl